AUGGGUGCAUUCCUCAACGGCAGGGUGUCUACAGCAAGGAGGAGGGGCAGCAAGUGUGUUUACUUCAAAAAGGGACUACAUAAAUAGUAACUGCUGCUGUUUAAAGGACUUCCUGUCACUAGUUAUUGCAUAUAAGAGCAGUUAAAUAAACGAUCAGUUUCCCAUCGGGGCUGCUUCGUCUUUACUGUAUUGGGAUCUGCAGUGGGUUCAAUCCGGGAUCCUGGCGUGUGGAUUUUAAAGCCCCAGACUGGAGUCAUGGAGCUGUUACAGAUUACAAGACUGUGGUCUGUCCCUGGCAGAAGUAAUACCUCAGCAGAGGGCCUGCCACCUUGGUGGAGGAUAUGAGCAGAGAUAAAGAGCCUGGCGUUUUACAAACAGAAUGGAGGCUGAGAACAGGAUGUCAGGGUGUGAUAGACCGUCCGCUGCCCUCAUUGUUUUUUUUUUUUCUUUGCUUGCCUCUUCUGAUAAAAACAGCGCCCUCAUCUAAGGAGAAGUAUUAAAUUUUUUUGUGCCUCACACUGGUCAAACAUCACCAACAGGAAGAUACCAUCUGCCAUGUGUUUGCAUUCGCAGAAGUGGAGCUUCACAGCCCACAGCAGGGGCCAGGCGCACAAUCACUGCAGAAUAUCACCAGAUAAUCUCUGUGGAGCCUCAGGAAAAACGACCGAGAGUAAACAAAGAAAUUAAACAAGCUAGAUCCGUGAACAAUGUGCUCCAUGCUGCAGGCUUCUCUUCCCUCUUCCCUGCUCCAUAAAUUGCAGUUCCCGGGGGACCACUGGAAAGACAGUACAACUCAGAGCCAGAUAGAGCUGUCUGAAAAGGCUCCAGCUUCAAGUUAGGCAUGCUGAACAAAAGUCCCAUCACCCAUGAAGUUAAAUUAAUUUAUAUUUUCUGCACCACAUUUGGUUUGUCUGCACCCUACACGGUGACAGUCAGUGUGUUAGGGCCGAGCAAGUUUGCCACUGUGCAUGUGGUCUCUUGAUCAGGGCAAUGAAAGGCAGUUUACAGCCUUUUAAAAGGUGUAUAAAAACCUCUCUCUAAAGAGGCAUAUACUUCAUGGCGUGUGUGUUCCCACAAUUAAUGUCUGAGCCCAGCAUGAGACCACUGGACAUCCUUCCUCAUUUUGCCUCCUUGCCCUGAAGGACCGAAGCCACUGCUGAGUUGCAGCAUUAAAAUAAAAUGUGCAGUUUGAAAUGAAAAUAUGAAUCGGAAAAACUGCAGGCUGAUGAUGUAAAUGACACACUGAAUAAUGCCAUCUGUUGGGUGGUGUGAAACUGCGUGCACCUCCAUCUUCCAGCACCACUAUUUCAUGAGCAUGCUUCUUUUUCUAGGUCUUUACUAUGUGAUUGCAAUCAAGAAGCAAUCACAUAGUCACGCGAAGAAAAGGUGUAUGCGGAUGUUUAAACAGAUCAAAUAUUAUGACAAAGAAGACAAGGCGAGGCAUUUUGUUUUGUUCUGAGAUAUCAAGGAAAAAUGAGCAUCCGGGACAAAUUGGUUAAAAGAGAGAAAGGGCAGGUUGAAGCUCUCAGGGACACGAUUAGGAAGAGUCAGGCAGCUCAAGCUCACUUCACAGCUAGUGCUGGACAGUUUGGGAUCAGAAGGAGAAGAACUCAGCAGACCACCAACUGAUGCUACAGGUGAAGUAUCACACCAACUCUUUGAAAUGGUUUUAUAAUGACUAACUCAUCCCAGGUGCUUGAGGUUGGAUACACUUGCAGGGUCAGGGCAACAGAGUAGCACAGCCAAGAUGACCCUGACCUCUCAGAGAAUCAUAUUCUCCGGCAAGACUGUGAAAAUAAGCUUCAGCUGACGUUACUGCAUGUAGUUAAAUCAACAGCCUUGAACUCC
Oreochromis niloticus (Nile tilapia) is the source of this 1848-nucleotide long non-coding RNA. RefSeq lists it as uncharacterized. The transcript has 4 exons. The record is from RefSeq and is a predicted model, not a curated record. Lineage: Eukaryota; Metazoa; Chordata; Actinopteri; Cichliformes; Cichlidae.